AGGACGAACGCUGGCGGCGUGCUUAACACAUGCAAGUCGAGCGGUAAGGCCCUUCGGGGUACACGAGCGGCGAACGGGUGAGUAACACGUGGGUGACCUGCCCUCAGCUCUGGGAUAAGCCCGGGAAACUGGGUCUAAUACCGGAUAUGACCACAGAUCGCAUGGUGUGUGGUGGAAAGUUUUUCGGCUGGGGAUGGGCCCGCGGCCUAUCAGCUUGUUGGUGGGGUGAUGGCCUACCAAGGCGACGACGGGUA
Molecule: ribosomal RNA, 254 nt
Filed under: uncultured bacterium
Lineage: Bacteria
Description: partial small subunit ribosomal RNA
Rfam family: Bacterial small subunit ribosomal RNA
Source: RNAcentral